UUGGUUUCUCCCUUCUGACGAACCAUGAUGUCAUUUAUUUGGUGUUGUGGGGAAUCAGGACUGUUACUUUGAAAAAAUUAGAGUGUUUAAAGCAGGCUCACGCUUGAAUACAUUAGCAUGGAAUAAUGAAAUAGGACGUUUGAUUCUAUUUUGUUGGUUUCUAGGAUCGACGUAAUGAUUAAUAGGGAUAGUUGGGGGCAUUAGUAUUCAAUUGUCAGAGGUGAAAUUCUUGGAUUUAUUGAAGACUAACUACUGCGAAAGCAUUUGCCAAGGAUGUUUUCAUUAAUCAAGAACGAAAGUUAGGGGAUCGAAGACGAUCAGAUACCGUCGCAGUCUUAACCAUAAACUAUGCCGACUAGGGAUCGGAUGAUGUUAAUUUUUUAAUGACUCAUUCGGCGCCUUACG
This 405-nucleotide ribosomal RNA is filed under the name uncultured Glomeromycotina. Its description in RNAcentral is "SSU rRNA". It matches the Rfam family "Eukaryotic small subunit ribosomal RNA", at positions 689 to 1092 of the family's 1831-position model. The record is from RNAcentral. Lineage: Eukaryota; Fungi; Glomeromycota.